CGGCGGGCGGGGCGGGGGCACGGGGGGAACGCGAAGAACCUUACCUACUCUUGACAUCCAGAGAACUUAGCAGAGAUGCUUUGGUGCCUUCGGGAACUCUGAGACAGGUGCUGCAUGGCUGUCGUCAGCUCGUGUUGUGAAAUGUUGGGUUAAGUCCCGCAACGAGCGCAACCCUUAUCCUUUGUUGCCAGCGGUUAGGCCGGGAACUCAAAGGAGACUGCCAGUGAUAAACUGGAGGAAGGUGGGGAUGACGUCAAGUCAUCAUGGCCCUUACGAGUAGGGCUACACACGUGCUACAAUGGCGCAUACAAAGAGAAGCGACCUCGCGAGAGCAAGCGGACCUCAUAAAGUGCGUCGUAGUCCGGAUUGGAGUCUGCAACUCGACUCCAUGAAGUCGGAAUCGCUAGUAAUCGUGGAUCAGAAUGCCACGGUGAAUACGUUCCCGGGUCUUGUACACACCGA
RNAcentral lists this ribosomal RNA (462 nucleotides) under Enterobacter sp. BF23. RNAcentral's name for it is "bacterial SSU rRNA". It matches the Rfam family "Bacterial small subunit ribosomal RNA", at positions 926 to 1393 of the family's 1533-position model. The record is from RNAcentral. Lineage: Bacteria; Pseudomonadati; Pseudomonadota; Gammaproteobacteria; Enterobacterales; Enterobacteriaceae. RNAcentral also lists the same sequence under 1 other name.